GUAUUGAUUGCGUGUGAGCGCAAAAAGAAAACAUUCUACACAGUAUGGAGUUUUAUGUGAAAACGCGAGCCCCCCGCAAAGGGGACCCACGCGGUGAUGCACAAAGGGGUGAGAUGGAUGUGUGAGAGUGCUCGGGCGUGCACGACCUUUAAAAAGGUCAGCGACAGCCCGGGCACCUCCGUUGUAUGAUAAUGAUCCUUCCGCAGGUUCACCUACGGAAA
This 221-nucleotide unclassified non-coding RNA is filed under the name uncultured fungus. RNAcentral describes it as "sequence contains ITS1". The record is from RNAcentral. Lineage: Eukaryota; Fungi.